Molecule: long non-coding RNA, 13513 nt
Organism: Motacilla alba alba
Lineage: Eukaryota; Metazoa; Chordata; Aves; Passeriformes; Motacillidae
Exons: 5
Source: RefSeq, a predicted model, not a curated record
AGCUGAGCGGGCGGAGUCAGUCAGCGGCGGGGACACCUGUGUCUCGGUCGCGCUGCGCGGCUGCUCACUAAAAGCCCCCAGCACAUCCCCGCACUCUUCUGUUCCCGCCCGGUCCGGGGAAAUAAAGGAAAACACAGAAGCAUGACGAAGAACAGUCAGUGGAGCUAACUGAGUCAUCCCUCUGCCCACAGGGCGGCAGCUGCCUGCAUCCGAGAGCAGCCAGCGGCAGGAGGCGGGUGCUCUUUGCCAGAAGGUUGUAGAUAAAUGGGGAGAAUAUUUGGAAUAAAGAAGUGAAAUGCAUGAGGAAAGCUCCACAUUCCCAAGGGAAUGCUUUAGGGAUGUGCAGCUUCUGAAUUGCACCAAUGAUUCCAGCUCCCACAGAAAUCUUCCAAAGCUGGAGGAGAUGGGGAAGAAAAUUCCAAGAGUGGUGGGAAGUGCGUUUUCCCAGGUCUUCCUGGUGGGUCUGUGCCGCUGGAAGUAGAAAGGAAAUCAGUCUUGACGUACCUGUGUGUUCACCAGCAGGGCUCCAAAAAGACGCUGGAUUUGAAACUGCAGGAUGUUCCCUUUGCUGCAGUGAGAAGCAGUGGAAGCCGUUUGCUGUCUGCUUCUUUAUCAGCUUCACCUCAGUCCCCUGGGGCUCCAGGAAACGUCUCAUGGUCUGGACUGAUGCUAUUGCAGGGAGAGCAAAAAGUCCCACAGCUCCUGUGGCUCACUUGUCUGAAUUGCCUCCAGGCAGCAAGGAUUGUUUCCAAAUGUCAUUUCCUGGCUCCUUGACUUGGAAAGAAAAACCAUUUAAGUGGGCCCAGUGAUGCCAGAAGCUUUGGUGUUUGAGCAGCCAAAGCCAAGAGGUUCCGACCCUGGGGGCCUGUGCUGAAGGGCGCUUGGUCCUGCCUUUUGUGUGGGUCAGUCAGAGGGACACAGCAUUCCUCUUUUCCUCUCUGCUGGAAUUAACUGCCAUGGGAAUGCCAUUUCUGACAGCCCCGUCCUACCCAUGUCUGCUGGAAAAGGGCAGAGGUGAAGAGGCGAAUGCCAGAGUUGCUUGGGGAUUAUGGAGUUUGGAUGUUUGCUGUGCUGGGAGGGGUGGGUUAGGUGUUAAUUGUGCAUCUAAGGACUGGUCUGGGAGUUUGGGAGCCUGAGGAGGUAAGUUCUUAGUGUAUUUCCAGCUCUCCCAGGGGUGGCAGCUGGUGCAGGGCUAGGUGACAACCUCUGGUUGGGCUGGGGACAAGCACUGGCCCUGGCACAGAUGUGGGUGGGGUUUGGGAGGAUUUGGGAGCAAUGGGAUGAAAAUGAGGAAUAGUGCUGGGUGGAGUGGUUGACCUGUGCUUGUGUCAGUGCAGCUGUGCAGGGCACUAGGAUCUGGGUAAAACUCCAGCUCUCCUGGUGUUCAGGCAUGCAAGGUCUGAGGGGCUGGAUUUUCCUGUGGCUUUCCAAGACAGCAGGAAGAAGAGGAAAUAUGAUGCCAAGGCUGUGUCUUAUCAGGUUGUGUUUCCCUCUUUUCCCUUUCCAUUUCCAUUUUCUCCUCAGUGCAGGUGUUCCCUGCAGUCGAUGACCACAGGCCUGGUGACAGCUCCCUGUCUUCCUGUCCCCCUGUGCCCCUUUGUUGGACAUGGCUAGAAUGGCAACACAUCCUUGAAGUCUGGCUGCUUCCUUAAAUCCUUAGACCAGUUAGGGCUGUCUCUGAACAGCUGAAAUGAGAGCUUUCAGUGUCUAGGAACAAACAGGAGUGACAGACAAAGGUAUUUGAAUCUAGAAAUAGGUGAGUUCCUCCUGCCCACCACUGCUGACACAGAGGCUGGGGCUCAGGGCAGCUGUGUAGCCCUUCCUUGGACCACUGAUCCUGCACUGGAAUGUUGUCAUGUUGCCAAACUGGGCCUCAAACCGGGAGAAGAUAAGCCCUGACCAUUUGCUCCUGACGCAGGAACACCUAUAGCCCACCCACAGUGUGUUAGCUGGAGUGUGUGCCUCAGCUGGUGUCACUUGAAUUUCACCAGCUGGCUCAUGCUCUGGGCAAUUCUGAGAGACCAUCACAUUGUUGUGCCCUGAACACGGUUUGCCAGACCCAGAGAUCUGGCCAUAUGGUGAUUUCUGAACAGAAAGUCAAAAUGCAGGAGAAGUGCCAGGGGCACAGAUGGGCCUCGGUACAGCACAGUCUUUGUGGAUCACUGUCAUUCCAGGCCCUUACAGUCUCUCCCCAUCUUUCUUGUAGGUUCUCUUCAGGUACAAGAGGCCUUGCUCACUGGUGUUUUUGACUAUUCUUUGUCAAGGAAAUUAGUUGAGUUUGUUAGUCAAAUCUAAUAGGCUUUUAUAUCGGGCUUCUCUGCAGUGGGAUUCAUAAUCAGAGACUGGUAUUUGCAUCUGGAUGCUUCCAGAAAGUGGAUGUAAUCCCUGGAUGUAUAAAGAAAAUGCUUAUUCAUCACCUAGGCAAUGAUAGCAAUGCAGGUGAAGGUCAGGUCAGACUGGCAUGGCAGCCUUUUCACCAGUUCACCAGUUGAACUGGUGCCAGGGUGAGCCCAGUCUCUAGAUUUCCCUUGCAUGCCUCAAGGUGUACAUCAUAAGAUUUGUGCUUGUUUGAAGUACAGAGUUGUGCAGUGAGUGUCAGGUGAUGUUCUCUUUGCUGCACAUUGGUGACAGGGAGCUCUAGAGAAAUGCAGACCUGCUGGGUAGAGAAGGCACAAAAGAGUGCUUUCCUUUCAAACACAGAAACUGGCAAAAAAUGUAUUUUGUCUCUCAGUGCCUGUGUUCCCUUCAACCCAGGGAGGCUGUUUGGAGCGGAUGACUUAUUGCCUGUGUUGACAUAUGUGCUAGCCCAGUGUGAUAUGCUAGAGCUGGACACUGAAAGAUGGAGUUGCUGGAUCCCUCUUUACUGCAUGGAGAAGGUGAUCUAUUUUUAAAUUUUUACUGGAACUGUGUGAAAGACUAGUUGAGGGGGUGUUCUUCCUCACAGCACAGUUACUGUUCCCCUUGUUUGAAUGGGAAUCUUAUUAAGGGGAUACCUAACGAAAGUGAUGUUGAUAGUGUAACAAGAGAGUGUCAUCAUUUCCACUGCUGGGUAGCUUGCAAAGCACAAGCCCCAGAGACCUGAAAAUUUGAUGCUGUGUAUUUCUCUAUGAGCAAAUUCGUUGUUUCCACCCUGUUUUGACUUAGCAGGCAAACACAUGCACUGUGCAGGUGCCAAAUGGCCUUAGUCAUUUAGUUUUUCAGCUUUUGUGCCUGAAAAUUUCCACACCCAUGAAAGUUACUCACUCACCCUCCCCUGCCACAGCUGGGCAGAGAGAGAAAACCUUAACGAAGAGAUAAGGAUUGGGAGAAAACAUUCCAAGGGCACAACAGGCUUGGCUUAGAGGUACAAAGUGAAUUUAUUGCUAACAAAAUCAGAGGAGGAUAAUAAGAAGUAAAAUAAGCUCUUAAAAACCCUUUUCUUCCCCCAACCCCUCCUUCCUUCCCACAGACAGUGUAAAGGAGACAGGACAUGGGGGUUUAGGUCAGUUCAUCACCUGAGAUUUUCUUCUACUGCUCAGGAAGAGGAGUCCUUCCCCUUUGAGGUGAUGGGGUCCCUCCCACAGGAGACAGUCCUCCCAAAACUACUGCAAUGUGAAUUCCUCCCAUGGGUGCACAGUCCUCCCAAAACUGCUGUGGCGCGGGUCUCUCUUCCCACAGGGUGCAGUCCUCCAAGGACAGGCUGCUCCGGCCUGGGAACAGGGGCCCUCUCUUUCCACGGGGUCUCUCACUGGAUCACAGCCUCCUCCAGGCAUCCACCUGCUCUGGUGUGGGUACCUCUGCUAUGGGCUGGGGUUGAUCUCUGCACUCUCCGUGGAUGUCUGGGCUGCAGGGGCACAUGGUCAUCACCACGGCCUGCAGAGGACUCUCGGCUCCAGCGGCUGGAGCACCUCCUCCUCCUCUUUCUCCACUGGCCUUGGUAUCUCCAUGUUGUUUCCUUCACAUGUUCUUAUGUCCUCCUCCAGCUGGAAUUAAGACUGUGAACCCACUUUUUUUUUUUAUUUUCUUCUUAAAUACAUUUUCACAGAGGUGUUACCAAUCUCUCUAACCAGCCCAGGUUUGGCCAGCAGCAUGUCAAUCUUCAGAACCAUCAGAGAUUGGCUCUGCCAGACAUGGUGGAAGCUUCUAGCAGUUUCUCACAGAAGCCGCCUCCCUAGAAGCAGAAGGAGUUGUAUCACUGUAAUGCCUUUCAUUAACUUUCUUACCCCUCCCCAACCUGGAAUUAAGAAUCCCUUUCCUCCUGGCAUUUCCUGGACUUGCCUUGCUCUGCCUGCUCGUACUAGGACUCUGAACACCUUAUGUACUCCCAGCAUUUCAGGAGCACAUGUGAGGCAGCCCAGGAGAGUUCAUGUGCAGACAGACCUGCCUGUCCUGGCAGCUUUUGUCUGGCACCAGUGUUUUUGUGUACUGAAUUUUGGACAGGCCAUCCUGAUUUCACCCUUGGGUUCCAGGACCAGAAUGACAGUUCUUUUGCACAUGAAGGAAAGCAGGUAGCCUAAGAAUUUUAGGUGCAGAUUAGAGAUGGCUCAGGUGAGACCAAGGCCAGUCAGAUCACUCUAUCCUAGCCACUUUUGUGUCCCAGCAAUCCUUGAAGACACCUCUCACUUGCCUGGCCUUGCCUUGGCAACCCAACAGUUUCCUUGCCUUGCCCUGCUAACCCUCCCUAGCCUCCCUUGCAUGUCCAUGCCUCGCCCUUGACCUGCCUAGUGCUUUCCUCCAGGGCUUUGCCUAGCCCUUCCUGUUUCUGCCUGGCCUACCCAUCACUGGGCUUACCUUCCUAUCCCCAGCCUUGCCUAGAACUUCUGGGCCUUUUCUCACCUACCAUUCCAUUUGCUUUCCCCUCAGUGCUCUGUCCUUACCUACCUCUCCCUUAUCUUGUCCACAAUUGCCUACACUUGGUUUGCAUUGCCUUACCUGCAUGGAAGGCAAACUGAAGAUUGGUAGGCAAAGCAAAGCAAAACAAGAAAGUUGUAGGUAGGGCCAGGCAAGGUGGGCAUAGGCAAGGGAUGCAAAGCAAGGGUAGGCUAGGAAGAACCAGGCAAGGUACUGUCUUGGGUUACAGUGUAAGGUAGUAACGAACACAUACACUGGAGACAUUCAAGAACCAUCUGGAUGCAACUCUGUGCCACGUGCUCUGGGAUGACCCUGUUGGAGUGGAGAGGUUUGACCAAAUGACCCACUGUGGUCUCUUCCAACCUUUACCCAUUGUCAGAUUCUGUAUGUAAGCAAACUAAAAUGGAAUGGUCUAAGUUUAAACUUCUUACAAGAAAGACCAAAAAAAGAUAGGCUAAAUGAAGUACUUAGUGGCACAGGGAUUAAUUGAGGGUUAAUGUUCACAGACACAGUCAAGAGUAUCUCUUGACCAAUCUUCUCAUGCAUAGUAGCAACUUUUAGGUUUCUGUCCUUCUGUCUAGUUCAACUGACCUGAAAGGUUGGCUGUUGAAUUAGGAAUACCAUGACCAUAAGUUCCUGUAGCUUCAAACUAAUUUUGCUUUGUGGUGGAAAUACUGACAUUUUAAUGUAUUUCUUGCAUAAAAAAAAAAAAAAAAAGAAAAAAAAAUAGAUAUCUAGCUGGCUUGACACAAAUCAGAGUAAAGUUGCUAUAUAAUUUAUAGUAAGACCAUACAUUGUUCAGGAACAUUCCUGACAGCAUGAUGCCUCAGGCUCAGUGUAGAUACUCAGAGUCAUUAAGGCCAAGGCAAAUCUUUUAAUAUAUCAUUGUAUACUCCCUCAAAAAAAUAACAGAGAUUUUCGCUAGUAAGAAAGAAUAAAGCAAAUGUUUUGAUGGGUGGGAUUUUUCUUGUGGCUUUUUCUUGUCUCUGAAUUUUUCAAUGAUUCACAAGUUUUGCCUACUAGUCCUGAAUUUUGAAAAGCACUGUUGCUUUUUCUUUGAUGGAUCUGAUGGCUCCACAAACCAUUAACCUUUUGUUAAUCCUGUUUUGUGUAAGAACACAGGGUAAUCAAAACCAUAUUCCAGUUAUUUCUACCUCUCUGAUUUUUGGGAAAUGUUCUAUGAUGUUCUGUAGCAGUGACAAUACUGAAAUAGUGGCCCAAGGGCUAGUUUGUACACAAUUUCAGAAGACGAGAAGCUGAAAGAGAGAAUAUAUUUAAAUGCUCUUUGUUCACAUUAGUCUGCCAAACUGGGUGUUAAGCAUCUAUCUGACCAACUCCAGGGUUUCAAAGUGGAGUUAUAAAGAUGGAAAGGCACUAAAGAGUAAGAAAAAUCAUGGGAGAACAAUUUUCUAGACAAUCUGUAAAAAUAGUGAGCUACUAGUAGGGAUGUCUAAGGAUAGUAAAAGAACUAAGCCUACUGAGACUCUCCCCAUCAUUUUAGAAACAACAUCCUUCCUUUUUUCAAGCUAUCCUUUUUACGGUACCUAAAACUUCCUGCGCUCUUUUCACAUCACAUCACUAAAGUUCUCCCUAGAUCCUUUGUUUCUUCAGUUUAUCUUCAAGUUAAUUCCACAGUUGGAGGAGAGGUAGGUAUUCUAUCAGCCUUCAUCUGCUGCUACACAGUCUGUCAUUUUAUUGCCUCUUUGAUGAAUCUCUACAGCUUUAAUUGAUUUUAAAAACAGAAGUGACAAAAAUAGGAAAAAACCAAAAACAUAUCACCCAUUGCUUUUCUUGUAAAGCAUACUAUAGCUAACUUUAAGCAAUCAGCGGCAAUGUUCAUGGAAGCAGUUCACACAGCAAAUUCUGAGCUGGAGCCCACUUCUGCAACGUGAACUGUUUACCAAAGGGUAAGAUACAGUUUCUGUUACUCAACCACAAGGAGCUUGACUUAGUGAGGGAGCCAGUUUCUCUAGUGUGUAUGCAGGAAGUUAAGAGGAAUUUUUCUUUGUUGCUGAGUGUGGCUCUCACAUAAGGGUGUAUAAACAGGAGAGCCUGAAAGAGCAAUUAUUUCAUCUCCUUUUAACAAAUGAAACUGCUAUAGUGCUUACAAAUCUUAUAUGCUUCAAUCAGUGGGGGUGGGGGAAACUUUUAAAUUCAUGGAUUCUAUAGCCACAAGUAAUGGGAAAGGAUGGUUGAAUUCAGUCAGCCUUUCCCUAUUACCAGGCUACUUGUUCUUGAUCUUUGUCUCGUAGGUCUGCUGUAAUUAUCAUUACACAGGGGUAAGAGAGGAAGGCUUAUGAGGAAAAGCCUGUAGUGAAAAAAGAGAGGGAGAAGGCAUUUUAAAGUAUGUCAAAAAUUAGCAAGAUGUAAUAGACUCUCCUUUUGUUUUUGAGAACAGUAAUGUGGUAAACUGAAAUUUGACUAGAACUCCUUGAAAGUAUUUCUUAUCUUUCAGAACCAGAUUUGCUGGAUAACUGCUUUUGUAGUCUUGUUGUAGCAAGCACCACCUACAUGAUACAGCCAGUGAGAAGUCUGCAACACUGGAACAGAUGGUAUAGCAUACAGUAGGAACAGCAUAUAUUAUUAAUAAACACAUUCUCUAAGACUGAAAUUGACUAAAUGGGAGAAUAAUGCAGAAGAAAAUGUUGAUUUCUUUUUCAAUACAUCAGUAAUUUGCUUACUAUAAAAUACCAGCUUUAUAGUGCUUACUUGUAAAAUACCAGCACAAUAAGGAUGUGCUUUGCUUUAUGUAUAUAGAGAAGUAACCUUAGACCAUCACUUCUUAGCCAGUUAUUAACUAGGAGGAACAUUACAGCUUAGAUUAAAUUUACUAGCCUCAGAAAGCCCUGCAAAUAAUAGAAAUGGAGGAUUGGAAAAGAUAAUAUUGCUUAUGAGUUGAAGUGGCUUUCUGCAAAAGUUUUUAGACUUGGAGCUGAGACUUGACUGCUGCUGCUGACUGAGAUAUAGAUUUCUGUUCUUGCUCGAUGUGCCACUGAAUAUACUUACCCUCUUUUUUUCCAGUCAGUUGCUUCUUUUAUGUAUUUAUAUCCUGGUCUGGCCCCAUAGCAAAACUAAUCUUGAUAUAGUCCCAUUUGGGCUAUCAGCAAAUACAUACCUCUGUCAUGAUCUGUGAAGAUUGGAGAAUGGUCAAAAUGCAUUUGCUAUAACCUACUAGAUGUAUGUAAUUUUGCUUGUUUCCUAGGAAUUCCUGGGAUCUGGUAAAGACCUGGAGAUGUAAAACUGUACAUGAGGUUCUCCCAUUUUUCUCCAAAUUUUCAUGAAGUAAUGUAGAAUUUAAAUAAAAUAAUGAAAAAAUCUCACAUGCAAUGGGAGAUGCAUAUAUUUCUGGACCCCGGCUAGUCUGACUAAAUUCUCUCUGGCUGAUUUAAUUCAGAAUAGUAUUGGUAAGCUUGUGCAAUGUAGAGUUUAUACUUCAUUUCAGAUGGAUUUAACUUGGCUAGCUUUGAAAUGGAACAAAACAGCAACAAAAAUGACACACAAUGAAAAGCAAUUCUCAGUGACAGCUUUUCCCAAGCAUACUGCUUUGAUUACAAGGUCCUUAAGCCAAAAGUCUGCCUUAUUAUUAUUCCUGCCCCACAAUGUACUUGUCUGUGAACAAGUGUGUGAAGUUCACAAUAUGCUCAGUUCAUUCAGGUGAUGAGUACUAGCUGAUGUACAAAGGAACAUUCACUUAAAGGCCAUGUUAGGGCCUUGAAAAAGUCCAGUGUGACAGGGUGUUGGCUGCUUUUAUACAGAAGUAGGUAUAUUUGUGGUACUGUUAAGGAGUAUGGUGCUUAAUGAUUCAGAGUACUGUUGCUGUGCAUCAUCAGAGAAAGCAUUCCACUUCCUCCUCUAAGUUGUGUGUUAGCUGCAAUUGCUGAAGAACUACUUAGUAGAUCACAGAGGAACUCAGGAAAGUAAGCAGCUACCAUCUACUUUCAAAAUCUCACCAGGCACCUCUGUUUGCUGAAGUGCCUGAAAUUUCACUUGCAAAAUAAAGUAGUACAAAAGUGGGGAAAUAUUAUUCUCUGAUUGUUAUUCUGCUAACAUACCACAUUGCUAGGCUGUUUGGAAAGGGAUGCCGUUUCUCAAUCAUCUGUAACUUACUAGUGCUUUUCCUUAAAUUCUCUGUAGAUAUAGUAGAGUAGUAGACUGUUUCUGUCACUUGCUGCAGCAACGAACAGUGCAUCAAUUUUCUAGCAUCAGUGCUCUUCAACUGGCAGCUAGGGAAAAUACCAUCUUCUUUGGCACUUAGCUUGUUAUUGCUUCCAGUAUAUUCUGAGAAUUAGUGAUUAGGGAUCAUACGGUUAAAAAUAAAUUUACCUAUUUUUUAAAGUUAAUCUGAACUUCCAAAUGCAAAGUAGUUGUAAACAUUUGUGGAUUUUCCUAAAUGAAUACAUUUCACCUGAGGGUAAUUUACAAACUGUUUUGAUUACAAUGUAGCCCUACACUUACGAUGAAUCCCUGAUUACAGGAUAUUAAGUCUACUCAUUGUUUUGCUGAAUGAUGAAUUUUAAACAGUAAGUAUCAUUCAUCUUUUUAUUAGUGGAAUUUUCAAGAGUCAGAGCAACUUACAAAAAUUUCUCACAGAUGUCUACAAAUUUAUAAAUUAUAUAACUGAAUUAUUGUAGCCUGUAUUGAAUUUUAUUGCUCUGUAUCUUAGUAGUCUCAGGGCUCUUCCUCCCAGGGCAACUAUGACACACUUCUUCAAAUAUUUGUCUAAAAGCCAUUUACAGUUUUUCAUCUAUAAGAGGUUUUCUGUUUAGUCAUUAUCAGAAUCAGGCCAUUUAGAGCCAUGUUUGGGUCUGUGUGCAGACUUGUAUCUGUCAUAAAUGUAAUUAGAAGGGUAGGUAUAAAACUAUACACAAAAUCAUACAGAUAUUGAUACAAACUGCAGUUUUCAAAUCAAGAAAAUAUUCAAUGCAUUAAACAAGAAUGAUUCAAAAUUGUAGAUGAGCUUCAAUCACUUCAAUUGUGAUUUGAUUGGAAAAGGGCUAUACCAUCUGUCCAAAAGCUUCAGCAACCAUUGUGUAUGUAAAACAAACAAAAAAGACUGAUGAAGGUAAAAGGAGUUCAGUGAGGAAGCCUGACCUGUGCUUCCCUAUCUUGCAUGACUUUGUUUAUGUAAGUCUUUGUGCAGUCUUUGUGCUGUCAUCAGAAUUUAUGUUUCCAAACUAAAACAAGUUGUUAUAGCUCAUUAUGAUGUACAAGUAUAUAAUAUCUUUCCUGCUCUCUGAGAAUUUCAGUGUCUGCUGCAUAAAUCAACUUGCCUACACUUCAAGAAUCGACAGGUGUAAAAAGUAGCAUAGGAUUACUGGUUUAGUUAAGAGUCAGUCAUCCUCCAGCCACUGGCUGCUGGCUGGAGGUGCUUUGCUUCUUAUUGCCUGCACCAAGCUAAAGACAGCUUGUCACAAAACUGUUGGGUGCCAGAUCAUUAAACCUUAUUAUACAGAGGCAAAUAGAUUUUUGGGAUGAAAAAAUAAGUAUGAGGUAGGUAUAUGUUAUUAGAGACAUUUAAUAAAAAGAUAAAAAAAUGAAGAGAGUAUUUUCAAUAAAUUCUGUCUGAGGUAAUUACUACAAGAGAGAAAGAAAGAAAGAAAGAAAACUUUGUCUCAAGGUAUAUACCACGUUCAGACCAAUGAAUGCAUCAGUGAAUUAACUGAAGGUUGAAUGAAAACGUAGUAUGUAAGGAAUUGGGGGAAUGAAAGAAAUAUAGUUCUCAUUUUCCCUGAAAUUGAAAUGCUGAGAAAAUUUCAUUUUUUAAACUUCAUUAUUUAGUGCCUCUAGAAGGAGCUAUGCUAUCCUUACUGCCAUAAAAGUUCUUCCAAUUUAUGUUAUUAGUGUUUUGUGGUUUUUUUCUGACCUAUCCUACCAAGCCACUGAAGCACAGCUUACGUAUUAGCUAUUGCAUUCCUCCUCAUUCAAGGACAGUUCAAGUUCAUACAUGCUCUCACACUAUUAUAAAAAUGAGUAUGUACAUGAUUCCAUGUCACUGGAUCUAGAAGGCAUAAGACCAGUCAUUGGUUCAAUGAAAACGCUCACCCUUUGCCAAGUUCUUGCCACCAAAAUGAAGGGAAACAUGGUUUAAGGUUUUUUUUUUCUUACUUGGUCCUCUGUAAUGACUUCUGUGAAGGCUAAUUUCUCCAUGGAGCUUAAUACUCUGACUUAUGAGAAGUAAGUCUCUUGCUUUUGGACUAGACCAGUUUUUCUGGAUUGUGGAUGUCUUUCUGGGGAAGCUGCCCUCAGCUCCCACUAACCUUUGUGCAAGGACAAGAUCAUUACCAACCUUUCCCUGCUUUCACUUUACAAGCUGACUACAAUCUCUGUGUUUAGUAUAUGCCACUUGCUCUCUGAGCAGCUUUGCAUUUGCCAGGUAGUAUCUCUUCCCUCUGUUAUGGUUAGGCAAACUGUUGUUAUGAAUGAAAUUGCCAAUUUAAUUUAUCAAUAAUUUGCAAGAGCCAAAUUAUGAUAUAAAAACAAAGUACAAAAUUUAUUUCGCGCAAAUUGACAGAAUUUCGGUAAGCCACGGAUCGGACAGAGUCUAGCCCAGGAAUAGACCCUGGGUGACGCGCUGAGCAACCCCAAGCACUGGCAGCUUCGGAGUGCGGUGGCACACUGGGUCUCCCUCCACGCAGGUUUUUAUCCCAUUUUUCUUGCCGCAGGCUAGGAAGUCCAUUGUCCUUUUCAUAACCAAACAAGUUCCAAAGGUUUCUCCGGUCUAGUAGAAUGGUAUCUGAUGGAAGGUGGUCCGGUCCUCAUGUCUUCGGGAAUAAUUCAUCGGCUUCUGGUCUUGUGCUAGACAGGACUAAGCUUAACAAUACACAGUCUCAUCCUGAGAGAGAUAUCCUUGUUAUCACCCUGAAUACCCGAUACUCAGUUCUUACUGGAAAUCUCUUUUACAAACCAAGAGACUUCCCAGAAGUAUUUUAAAAUUCUAAAUAGUGUGUGUUCUUCCCCCCUUUCCAGUCGGGAGUAUCCAGGUGUACUGCUGAUGGCGUAAUUCCCUACAUAGCUGCAACCUUGAAACCGAGGAUCCCUGUUGUAUUUCACAUGUAAAUGUGGUCUAUCGGUGUGGUAUGUGUGUUGGUAUCUUGCUGCUAUUGCAGACUGAUUUAUUUGGCUUUUUCCCUGAGAACAUGUCCAGACGUAGCCCCCCUGUGUCCCCCUUUACUUAAUAUCUAUCUACCUUAAUAUUUUAUACUAUCUUGAAUCUAUUCCUCUAUUCUAAUAAAUAUGAAUUUUGACAUCCAUUCAUAACACUGUGAUUGACAGAACAAAGGAAGAGUACGUCCAACUCCUCUCUGAAGAACAGCUAUCCUGCUAAUACAGAGCUAAGAUGGUAGUUAAGAAUGGCCUCAUUAGAAUGUUGACAUCACCUCACUGCUGUAAACACAGCAGUAAGCAUACAUUCCAUAUGUUAAACCAUCAAGUUUCUAUGAGUUCACUUCCCUGUGAAAUAUUUCUUUAGAAAUAUUUCUUCUGCUGCUUUUAAUCCCACUGACACAUGUGUGAUAAGAACGGACAUAAUGAAAAUUAUUACAUGUCACUAGAGUGUUUCCUGGACUCAUAGCCAAGAAACUGCCAAACAGUGAGCAAUGGCUAGAUUUAUUGUGGUUUGUUUUUUUACAUAAUUUUCAGGAAGGUGCUGUAGCAGCCUUUGGCUUUAGACAUUGCUCAUAUUUAAAUCUAUUCAAGAAUUUGAAAAAUAUUCAGCCUCAUUCUAGUUUGAAUUAUGACAUUAUCAGUAUAUUUAAGCAAGAAUGACAAACUACCUCAAGGAAAGUCCAGGGCUGUAACAUCACGAAUGCUGGAAUUUCAGCCACUCAGCAGGAAGCUUGUACAGCAAGUACCGUGCUUGGUGUGGUAAGAAAGAUCUAGCUGCUGGCCUCAGCCUGCUGUGCUGGGAAAAGCUGUCUGCACAACCUCCAGGGAAGACAAUCUAGUUUGGCAGAAACGAGCCAUGUGCUUGGAAUGACUUCAAAGUGUCAAGAGCUGCUCCUGGAAAAAAAGGCAAAAAGGCAGAGUUGUAACUCAGUUUCUAUGUUCACGCAGCUUAUGGAUGCCUCUGAGACAUAAACUUUAAGGAAUUUAGAGAUUUUAGAGGCGCUAAGAUUUUAGUUAAAGAUAAGCUUUAUUGGAGUUAAUUAAAAUAAGUGGGUAGGCCUUGAUGAAGUUGAGUUAGUAGUUAACUAAUAAUUGAUUGCUUGUCAACAUAAUGUUUGGUUAGCUGGGUUUAUAAUGAAGAAUAUGGAAACUCAUAAAUAGCUUUAAGGAACAUAAGACAAUUGUGGGCCUCCCCUGUUCUGAAACCAAUUGAAGAUAGGGAAUGGGAGUUCUACUGAGGGUUCAUUUGUCAUAUCUGCAUUGAAAAGGUAGAAAGGUCAGAACGAGGAAGACUACAUUUACUUCCUCAUUUUGGGAGGCCUCCCCAUGAAAGGGACCACCAACCCAUUUCAUGAAACAAACUAUGCAUGCUUAAUAGCUUUUGAACGAAUUAUGAAGCGGGGAAUAUGAAGCGGGGAAUGGGAUGUACCGAAGUUACGAAUAUGUAUUUGUAUUUUGGGUAUUCAAUACUUGCAUAGAUAAAAGGACUCUCUAAUCACCUGUAAAUUGCGGUGUGUAUUUGGGAGUUAUCCUGCAUGCUGCCCUGCGUCUUAAUAAACAUACACUUUCUGAGUUUAAA